RNAcentral lists this transfer RNA (67 nucleotides) under Idaea effusaria. Its description in RNAcentral is "tRNA-Cys". The record is from RNAcentral. Lineage: Eukaryota; Metazoa; Arthropoda; Insecta; Lepidoptera; Geometridae.
GGUCUUAUAUUCAAAUAAAUGAUAUGAAAUUGCAAAUUUUAAGUUAAUAUAAAAAUAUUUAAGGCUU